This 74-nucleotide transfer RNA is filed under the name Sphingomonadales bacterium. Its description in RNAcentral is "tRNA-Asn". It matches the Rfam family "tRNA". From Rfam's summary of the family: Transfer RNA (tRNA) molecules are approximately 80 nucleotides in length. Their secondary structure includes four short double-helical elements and three loops (D, anti-codon, and T loops). The record is from RNAcentral. Lineage: Bacteria; Pseudomonadati; Pseudomonadota; Alphaproteobacteria; Sphingomonadales.
UCCCUGGUAGCUCAGUGGUAGAGCAGUUGACUGUUAAUCAAUUGGUCGGGGGUUCGAAUCCUCCCGGGGAGCCA